GGGGGUGUGGCUCCGUGGUAGAGCACUUGCCUAUCAUGCAUGAGACCCUGGGUCCCAUCCCCA
This 63-nucleotide transfer RNA is filed under the name Urocitellus parryii (Arctic ground squirrel). RNAcentral describes it as "Spermophilus parryii (Arctic ground squirrel) tRNA". It matches the Rfam family "tRNA", at positions 1 to 62 of the family's 71-position model. Rfam says of the family: Transfer RNA (tRNA) molecules are approximately 80 nucleotides in length. Their secondary structure includes four short double-helical elements and three loops (D, anti-codon, and T loops). The record is from Rfam by way of RNAcentral. Lineage: Eukaryota; Metazoa; Chordata; Mammalia; Rodentia; Sciuridae. RNAcentral also lists the same sequence under 1 other name.